AUUGAACGCUGGCGGCAGGCCUAACACAUGCAAGUCGAACGGUAACAGGAAGAAGCUUGCUUCUUUGCUGACGAGUGGCGGACGGGUGAGUAAUGUCUGGGAAACUGCCUGAUGGAGGGGGAUAACUACUGGAAACGGUAGCUAAUACCGCAUAACGUCGCAAGACCAAAGAGGGGGACCUUCGGGCCUCUUGCCAUCGGAUGUGCCCAGAUGGGAUUAGCUAGUAGGUGGGGUAACGGCUCACCUAGGCGACGAUCCCUAGCUGGUCUGAGAGGAUGACCAGCCACACUGGAACUGAGACACGGUCCAGACUCCUACGGGAGGCAGCAGUGGGGAAUAUUGCACAAUGGGCGCAAGCCUGAUGCAGCCAUGCCGCGUGUUUGAAGAAGGCCUUCGGGUUGUAAAGUACUUUCAGCGGGGAGGAAGGGAGUAAAGUUAAUACCUUUGCUCAUUGACGUUACCCGCAGAAGAAGCACCGGCUAACUCCGUG
RNAcentral lists this ribosomal RNA (490 nucleotides) under uncultured bacterium. RNAcentral describes it as "partial 16S ribosomal RNA". It matches the Rfam family "Bacterial small subunit ribosomal RNA", at positions 30 to 507 of the family's 1533-position model. The record is from RNAcentral.